GACGAACGCUGGCGGCGUGCCUAAUACAUGCAAGUCGAGCGCAGGAAGUCAUCCGAACCCUUCGGGGGGACGUUGACGGAAUGAGCGGCGGACGGGUGAGUAACACGUAAAGAACCUGCCCUCAGGUCUGGGAUAACCACGAGAAAUCGGGGCUAAUACCGGAUGGGUCAUCGGACCGCAUGGUCCGAGGAUGAAAGGCGCUCCGGCGUCGCCUGGGGAUGGCUUUGCGGUGCAUUAGCUAGUUGGUGGGGUAAUGGCCCACCAAGGCGAUGAUGCAUAGCCGACCUGAGAGGGUGAUCGGCCACACUGGGACUGAGACACGGCCCAGACUCCUACGGGAGGCAGCAGUAGGGAAUCUUCCACAAUGGACGAAAGUCUGAUGGAGCAACGCCGCGUGAACGAUGAAGGCCCUCGGGUCGUAAAGUUCUGUUGUAAGGGAAGAACAAGUGCCGCAGGCAAUGGCGGCACCUUGACGGUACCUUGCGAGAAAGCCACGGCUAACUACGUG
Molecule: ribosomal RNA, 508 nt
Filed under: uncultured bacterium
Lineage: Bacteria
Description: partial 16S ribosomal RNA
Rfam family: Bacterial small subunit ribosomal RNA
Source: RNAcentral